RNAcentral lists this ribosomal RNA (372 nucleotides) under uncultured organism. Its description in RNAcentral is "bacterial SSU rRNA". It matches the Rfam family "Bacterial small subunit ribosomal RNA", at positions 526 to 896 of the family's 1533-position model. The record is from RNAcentral.
CAGAGACUGCAAGCGUUAUUCGGAUUCACUGGGCGUAAAGGGUGCGCAGGCGGCCAAGUGUGUGAGGCGUGAAAGCCUGGGGCUUAACUCCAGAAUUGCACCUCAAACUACAUGGCUGGAGCAUUGGAGAGGGUAGCAGAAUUCACGGUGUAGCAGUGAAAUGCGUAGAUAUCGUGAGGAAUACCAGAGGCGAAGGCGGCUACCUGGACAAUUGCUGACGCUCAGGCACGAAAGCGUGGGGAGCAAAAGGGAUUAGAUACCCCUGUAGUCCACGCCCUAAACGGUGCACACUAGGUCUUGGCGGAUUCGACCCCCCCAGGGCCCAAGCUAACGCGUUAAGUGUGCCGCCUGAGGACUACGGCCGCAAGGCUA